Molecule: ribosomal RNA, 439 nt
Filed under: uncultured bacterium
Lineage: Bacteria
Description: bacterial SSU rRNA
Rfam family: Bacterial small subunit ribosomal RNA
Source: RNAcentral
AACGCGAAGAACCUUACCCAGGCUCGAAAUGCAGGUGGCGAUAUCAGAGAUGGUAUUUUCCGUAAGGACGCCUGUAUAGGUGCUGCAUGGCUGUCGUCAGCUCGUGCCGUGAGGUGUUGGGUUAAGUCCCGCAACGAGCGCAACCCUUAUCAUUAGUUGCCAACACGCAAGGUGGGGACUCUAAUGAGACUGCCUAGGUUAACUAGGAGGAAGGUGAGGAUGACGUCAAGUCCGCAUGGCCUUUAUGUCUGGGGCUACACACGUGCUACAAUGGUCGGUACAGAAGGCAGCAAGACCGCAAGGUGGAGCAAAUCCGUAAAACCGAUCUCAGUUCAGAUUGUAGUCUGCAACUCGACUACAUGAAGCUGGAAUUGCUAGUAAUGACGUGUCAGCAACAACGUCGUGAAUACGUUCCCGGGCCUUGUACACACCGACGCAC